RNAcentral lists this ribosomal RNA (274 nucleotides) under uncultured bacterium. RNAcentral's name for it is "partial 16S ribosomal RNA". It matches the Rfam family "Bacterial small subunit ribosomal RNA", at positions 523 to 796 of the family's 1533-position model. The record is from RNAcentral.
CUACAGAGAGUGCAAGCGUUAAUCGGAAUAACUGGGCGUAAAGCGCACGUAGGUGGACAUUUAAGUCGGAUGUGAAAGCCCUAGGCUUAACCUAGGAACUGCAUCCGAAACUGGGCGUCUUGAGUAUAGUAGAGGGAAGUGGAAUUUCCGGUGUAGCGGUGAAAUGCGUAGAUAUCGGAAAGAACACCAGUGGCGAAGGCGGCUUCCUGGACUAAUACUGACACUGAGGUGCGAAAGCGUGGGGAGCAAACAGGAUUAGAUACCCUAGUAGUCC